This 376-nucleotide ribosomal RNA is filed under the name uncultured bacterium. Its description in RNAcentral is "bacterial SSU rRNA". It matches the Rfam family "Bacterial small subunit ribosomal RNA", at positions 524 to 898 of the family's 1533-position model. The record is from RNAcentral.
AACGUAGGAUCCGAGCGUUAUCCGAAUUCACUGGGCGUAAAGCGCGUGCAGGCGGCUUUGUAAGUUGGAUGUGAAAUCUCCCGGCUCAACUGGGAGGGGACGUUCAAGACUGCAAGGCUCGAGGGCAGUAGAGGGAGGCAGAAUUCCCGGUGUAGUGGUGAAAUGCGUAGAUAUCGGGAGGAAUACCAGAGGCGAAGGCGGCCUCCUGGACUGAACCUGACGCUCAGACGCGAAAGCUAGGGGAGCAAACGGGAUUAGAAACCCCGGUAGUCCUAGCCGUAAACGAUGUAGACUUGGCGUGGGUGGGGUAAAAUCCAUCCGUGCCGGAGCCAACGCGAUAAGUCUACCGCCUGGGGACUACGGCCGCAAGGUUAAA